AGUGAACGCUGGCGGUAGGCCUAACACAUGCAAGUCGAACGGCAGCACAGUAAGAGCUUGCUCUUACGGGUGGCGAGUGGCGGACGGGUGAGGAAUACAUCGGAAUCUACUUUUUCGUGGGGGAUAACGUAGGGAAACUUACGCUAAUACCGCAGACGACCUACGGGUGAAAGCAGGGGAUCUUCGGACCUUGCGCGAUUGAAUGAGCCGAUGUCGGAUUAGCUAGUUGGCGGGGUAAAGGCCCACCAAGGCGACGAUCCGUAGCUGGUCUGAGAGGAUGAUCAGCAACACUGAACCUGAGACACGGCCCAGACUCCUAGGGGAGGCAGCAGGGGGAAAUAUUGGACAAUGGGCGAAAGCCUGAUCCAGCCAUACCGCGUGGGUGAAGAAGGCCUUCGGGUUGUAAAGCCCUUUUGUUGGGAAAGAAAAGCAGCAGGUUAAUACCCCGCUGUUCUGACGGUACCCAAAGAAUAAGCACCGGCUAACUUCGU
This 491-nucleotide ribosomal RNA is filed under the name uncultured bacterium. RNAcentral describes it as "partial 16S ribosomal RNA". It matches the Rfam family "Bacterial small subunit ribosomal RNA", at positions 29 to 506 of the family's 1533-position model. The record is from RNAcentral.